GACGAACGCUGGCGGCGUGCUUAACACAUGCAAGUCGAACGGUAAGGCCCUUCGGGGUACACGAGUGGCGAACGGGUGAGUAACACGUGGGUGAUCUGCCCUGCACUUCGGGAUAAGCCUGGGAAACUGGGUCUAAUACCGGAUAGGACUCCUGCCUGCAUGGGUGGGGGUGGAAAGCUUUUGCGGUGUGGGAUGGGCCCGCGGCCUAUCAGCUUGUUGGUGGGGUGAUGGCCUACCAAGGCGACGACGGGUAGCCGGCCUGAGAGGGUGACCGGCCACACUGGGACUGAGGUGCGGCCCAGACUCCUUCGGGACGCAGGAGUGGGGAAUAUUGCACAGUGGGUGCAAGCCGGAUGCAGCGACGCCGCGUGAGGGAUGACGGCCUUCGGGUUGUAAACCUCUUUCAGCACAGACGAAGCGCAAGUGACGGUAUGUGCAGAAGAAGGACCGGCCAAGUACGUGCCAGCCGCCGCCGUAA
This 478-nucleotide ribosomal RNA is filed under the name uncultured bacterium. RNAcentral's name for it is "partial 16S ribosomal RNA". It matches the Rfam family "Bacterial small subunit ribosomal RNA", at positions 28 to 523 of the family's 1533-position model. The record is from RNAcentral.